UGUAACGUUUACGUCAAAAUUGAGUCUGAAACGUCGUUUUUACGCAAGUGCGACAUUCUAGUAAGACUCCGAAAAAUUGACGGUGAUUUUAAAUUACUAAUAGGAAAUUGAUGUAUUUUAGAUUUUUGGAAAAUUGAGAAUGAUAACAUUUCAAAAAAUCAUUUCAAUUCGAUUUUAUCAGAGCACGGGUAAGUAAAAAAUUGCCGUAAAUUUGAGUUAAGUUUGUUUUUAUGCCAAAAAGCGGAAGUGCGACAACAUUGUAAGCCUUUGAAAAAUCGCCCAUAAAUCAUCAUUUUAUAUUUUUUAGAAUAUUUGUCUAAAAUUUUUUUAAAUUAAGCAAAAUAACAUUGACGUAGAAAUAAAAAUUCUAACUUUUUUCAAAACUUUAUUAAUUUUUUUGAACUCUCAAAACUGUAAUCCCCCUAAAAUUUCCCAGUGGGACAGAAAUGCCUUAGUUGUGUGGAACGCAUUUUUUUCUUAGGAAUUAUAAUAACAUCAUAAAAUAUUGCGUAAAUGACUGAAGAAACAUUUCUAUAAGACAAUGGAAAAAUCCGUUUUUUAAAAUAUUUAAUGGUUAAGAUACAAAUCAUGGUUCAGUUGUAACAAUAAACGAAACAUGUUACGCGGGACACCCUAAAAAAAUCCCAUUUUUUAAAAUUGAAGCUUGUCGCAUAUAGCAUAAAACAUAGUUUUUACAAUUAUUUUCUUCGUUUUUCUUUUGAAAAACCUUAUAUUUUAAAAUGUUUACAACAGAAAUUUAUUUUAAGUAACAAAAUUGCAAUUUUGAGACCUGUAUCUUGCCGAACACGUCAAUUUUUUCAAUGAGGUACGAACAUCGCGCGUAACGUCU
RNAcentral lists this long non-coding RNA (850 nucleotides) under Mytilus galloprovincialis (Mediterranean mussel). The record is from RNAcentral. Lineage: Eukaryota; Metazoa; Mollusca; Bivalvia; Mytilida; Mytilidae.